UACGGAGGGUGCAAGCGUUGCUCGGAAUUAUUGGGCGUAAAGCGCACGCAGGCGGCGGAGUAAGUCAGUUGUGAAAUUCCCGGGCUUAACCUGGGAGCUGCAGCUGAUACUGCUCUGCUAGAGUACGGAAGAGGGGAGCGGAAUUCCCAGUGUAGAGGUGAAAUUCGUAGAUAUUGGGAGGAGCACCGGUGGCGAAGGCGGCUCCCUGGUCCGAUACUGACGCUCAGGUGCGAAAGCGUGGGGAGCAAACAGG
Molecule: unclassified non-coding RNA, 253 nt
Filed under: uncultured Myxococcales bacterium
Lineage: Bacteria; Pseudomonadati; Myxococcota; Myxococcia; Myxococcales
Description: contains 16S-23S intergenic spacer region
Rfam family: Bacterial small subunit ribosomal RNA
Source: RNAcentral